This 553-nucleotide ribosomal RNA is filed under the name uncultured archaeon. RNAcentral describes it as "bacterial SSU rRNA". It matches the Rfam family "Archaeal small subunit ribosomal RNA", at positions 326 to 879 of the family's 1478-position model. The record is from RNAcentral.
CGGGGUGCACCAGGCGCGAAAACUUUACAAUGCUGGCAACAGCGAUAAGGGGACCUCGAGUGCCAGGAUACAAUCUUGGCUGUCGCGAUGCCUAAAAAGCAUUGCAUAGCAAGGGCCGGGCAAGACCGGUGCCAGCCGCCGCGGUAACACCGGCGGCUCGAGUGGUAACCGCUAUUAUUGGGUCUAAAGGGUCUGUAGCCGGCCGGAUAAGUCUUUUGGGAAAUCCAGCUGCUCAACAGUUGGGCUUUCAGAAGAUACUGUUCGGCUCGAGACCGGGAGAGGUGAGAGGUACUUCAGGGGUAGGGGUGAAAUCUUGUAAUCCUUGAAGGACCACCAGUGGCGAAGGCGUCUCACCAGAACGGAUCUGACGGCAAGGGACGAAAGCUAGGGGCACGAACCGGAUUAGAUACCCGGGUAGUCCUAGCCGUAAACGAUACUCGCUAGGUGUCAGCCACGGUGCGACCGUGGUUGGUGCCGUAGGGAAGCCGUGAAGCGAGCCACCCGGGAAGUACGGCCGCAAGGCUGAAACUUAAAGGAAUUGGCGGGGGAGCAC